Molecule: non-coding RNA, 52 nt
Organism: Trichobilharzia regenti
Lineage: Eukaryota; Metazoa; Platyhelminthes; Trematoda; Strigeidida; Schistosomatidae
Source: Rfam
AUCCAGCUGGGAGACGAGUCCCAAAUAGGACGAAAUUCGCAUUAUCCUGGAU